This is a long non-coding RNA of Amphimedon queenslandica, 505 nucleotides long. RefSeq lists it as uncharacterized. The record is from RefSeq and is a predicted model, not a curated record. NCBI's taxonomy places the organism in Eukaryota, Metazoa, Porifera, Demospongiae, Haplosclerida, Niphatidae. The transcript has 2 exons.
AAAUUCUGUGUCCUUCGUCACAAUUUGUGUAUUAGCUGUUGGUGUGAACAGAUUUGUUGCUGCAUGAAAUUCUCAUUAUAUAUCAGGUAAAGGUGUUCCCAAUAACCUAGCAGUCUCAAACAACCAGACAACUCCUGUUAGUGCUUCUUCAGUACCUAGUGUAGAAGCUGCAGUUGAUAACUAUCAUGCACAUCAGGGACAUUUGACUAUAGCUAGUCAAUUUGGAAGUGAUCCUUUAAGAGAGAGACAAGACUUGAUUUUAUUGAGAGAGCAGCAGUUUUUGCAAAGAUACUGCUUUGAAGAUAUUUUCACUAACUCAAUAUCAGGAGAUCACUCACAGCUGGUCAAUUCAAUAUGCUUUUUUAUUGACAUUACAAUCAGGUUUUCUAAUUUAGUGUGAUGUGUGUGUCAUUUAUGCAUUGAUUUAGUUCAUAAUUAUAAUGUUACUGAAUUUGACCACUUAUAGCUAAUGCCUUACUUUAAAUAUAAUCUUGCUAAAAAAUUA